This 192-nucleotide ribosomal RNA is filed under the name uncultured bacterium. RNAcentral's name for it is "partial 16S ribosomal RNA". It matches the Rfam family "Bacterial small subunit ribosomal RNA", at positions 1307 to 1500 of the family's 1533-position model. The record is from RNAcentral.
GCAAUCGCCUACAUGAAGUCGGAAUUGCUAGUAAUCGCGGAUCAGCAUGCCGCGGUGAAUACGUUCCCGGGCCUCGUACACACCGCCCGUCACACCAUGAGAGCCGGUAACACCCGAAGUCAGUAGCCUAACCGCAAGGGGGCGCUGCCGAAGGUGGGAUUGGUAAUUGGGGUGAAGUCGUAACAAGGUACC